Gymnodraco acuticeps is the source of this 4337-nucleotide RNA transcript. It is a transcript of the gene named ArfGAP with coiled-coil, ankyrin repeat and PH domains 1, with no coding region annotated. The record is from RefSeq and is a predicted model, not a curated record. The transcript is spliced from 23 exons. NCBI's taxonomy places the organism in Eukaryota, Metazoa, Chordata, Actinopteri, Perciformes, Bathydraconidae.
CAGGAUAGAGAGAGAGAGAGAGAGAGAAAGAUAGAGAGAGUACUCCAGUCUCUGGAAGGAGAAACAUCAACCGGUUUCCAUCUGAUUUAAUCUUAUUUAUUUGGGAAUACACAUCGAUCAAUAAGGAUACUUCCUUGCAGAGGGAACUUUGUGCAGCAUCCUUUCUAGCGGAAACGAGGACUAACUUACUUUUUAUUUCCAAGGAUAUAAUUAUAUGAUCAUCUGCGUUCAUUCACAAGUGGUUUUGUGGCUCCUCGGAUGCGCGAGGCACACGGUGUCCCUUCAGAAGAGAAAAAGCAAAAACAGGACGAGCUGCGGGAGGAAUACAAAUUAUACUUUUGAAAGAAAACGCUCCGAGAGGGAGAAGAAUGAGUAAAAAGUUGCCGGUGAGGAGCCUUAAAAAAGCGAAGAGGAGUCAGUGUGUUCUGUGCCAGGCUGCUGUCAACUUCCUGAAGAUUCAAAGACAUACAGAAAAGUGUGAUCUGCGACUAUAAACGCAGGGAUGACAGUCAACUGGACUUUGAGGAGUGUUUGAAAGACUCCCCCCGCUUCAGAGCUGAAAUUGAAAUGGUCCAAACCGAUGUGAGUGAACUCGAGACACGAUUAGAAAAGCUUGUGAAACAAUGCCAUGCCAUGCUGGAGGCCGGCAGAGUCUACUGCCAGACCAGCAAGAGCUUCGUCAACGGCCUGCGGGAGCUGGGACACCAAUGCUCCGGGGAAAAGACCAUGGAGGAGUGUUUGGACAAAUUUUCCAAAAAGCUGUCUAUCAUCUUGGAGGCCCAGGAGGAAGUGAUUGAAACCACACAGAAGACGGUCAAGACGAAGCUGCAGAACUUUGUGAAAGAGGAUGUCCGUCGGUUUAAGGAUGUACGCAAGGAGUUUGAGCGCGGCAGUGAAUGUCUGGAGGGGGCGCUGGUGAGGAACGCUCAGGCCCUUCGAGGGAAACCUCAUGAAGUGGAGGAGGCCAGCAACGCUCUGCUGAACGCACGCAGGACCUUCAGGUCGGAGGCCCUGGAUUACGUCCUGGAGAUUAACGUCAUUGAAGCCAAGAAGAAGACAGACAUCCUGAUGGCAAUGUUGUCACUGAUGGAGGCCCAGGCUCAGCUCUUCCAACACGGCCACCAGUCUCUCUCAGAAAUGGACGAGUAUAGACGAAAACUCAAUGAAGAGCACACUCAGUUUGUCCUCAACUCAGCCCGGGAGAAGAGGGACAUGGAGCAAAGACACGCAGCAAUCAAGAAGAAGGAUGUGUCCUAUGAUGACUCCAUCAUGGAUUUUAAACCGGACGCACCAAAUGGGAUCGCCAUGGAGGGAUACCUCUAUAAAAGAGCCAGCAACGCCUUCAAGACCUGGAGCAGGCGUUGGUUUUCUAUUCAGAAAAAUCAGCUGGUGUAUCAGAAAAAAUUCAAGGAACAACCUACAGUUGUGGUGGAGGACUUGCGUCUCUGCACGGUCAAGCCUAGUGCAGACAACGAGAGGCGGUUUCUGUUUGAAGUGGUCUCCCCGUCAAAGAGUUGUAUGUUGCAGGCAGACUCAGAAAGGCAGCAGCAGGCGUGGAUCAGUGCCGUUCAAAACAGCAUCGCAUCGGCCUUUCAGGAGCACAGAGAGGACACACAUAGCCCAAGACAGCGCUGCAGCUCAGUGUCAGCCAGCAGCUUGAUAGGAGGGGGGAGCGGCGGGGGGGAACAGGAGAGUAAGGUCUGCAAGGCGCUGGAGGAGGUCCAGGCGAUCGUGGGGAACAAGCAGUGCUGCGACUGCGGAGAGCCCGGUCCUGAUUGGGCCUCCAUCAACCUGGGCAUCACGCUCUGUAUCGUCUGCUCAGGAAUACACAGGAGCCUGGGAGUCCAUUUUUCCAAAGUACGCUCCCUCACACUGGACUCCUGGGAGCCGGAGCUUAUUAAGCUGAUGUGUGAAUUAGGAAACUUGGUAAUCAACAGGAUCUACGAGGCCCGCAUUGAUGAGAUCACCAUCAAGAAGCCCCACCCCACCAGUCCCAGAGGAGACAAGGAGUCAUGGAUCCGGUCAAAGUACGUUGAUAAGAAGUUCAUCCAAAAGCUGCCCGAGACCGGCAGGCCGGCCCUGCAGAGGAGGAACCGAGCGCUCACUCAGGAGAGGAACACACAGCGUCCGCCGCUCAAACCCAAGCCGAACCGAGCCACGCUGCCUCGUCUCCCAGGACUGAGCCCCAGCCCCACUGACCUUGUCCAGAAGAACAAUACACACAAAGAAGUGGAGGAGGAAGAGGAGGAGGACCUGAGCGGGCUGCACCCCGGGGCGCUGCUGUAUCGAUCAGCAGCCCUGCAGAACUUCCCGGUCAUGGCCGACGCUCUGGCCCACGGAGCCAACGUCAACUGGGUCAACGUGACCGAGGAGUCCAGCACGCCUCUGAUCCAGGCCGUCUCUGCGAAUGCCCUGGCAGCCUGCGAGUUCCUGCUGCAGAACGGAGCGAACGUUAACCAGGCAGACAGCAACGGGAGAGGACCGCUGCACCACGCCACCAUCCUGGGUCACACUGGGUUGGUUUGUCUCUUCUUGAAGCGAGGAGCAGACUACAACGCCACAGACAAGACACAGAAAGACCCCAUAUCCAUCGCCGUGGACACCGCCAACGCUGACAUUGUCACUCUGCUGCGGAUCGCCAAAAUGAACAAGGAGAUGCGGGAGAUGGACGGAGCGUUUGGCCAAUCAGGUCACUCGGGGGGGCAUGGGUCUGGGGGUUCAAUUGGAGGGACAGGAGGUGGGCGGGCUCACACCAGAAAGAGCCUACAGGCGAUAAAGAACCAUAUAAGUGGCUGGGCUCUGGGGGGGCAUAAUGAUUAGAGGGGAUACCAAGAGACAGGCAGUGGGACUGAUCAGCUGUUUCUGAUUGUAAGCUAAACGUUAUUAAACAUCACAAUCACUGGUUUUGCAGUGUCAUGUGGUUUAAGACAUAUCAUUUAAGGACAGAUAAAAAUGUAAUUGCCUUCAUUUAGAAAGCAUAAAAUCAGGAUCUUGUAAACCACGAGAACCAGAGCACAGGGUACGACAGCGUAAAGGAAGCAAUAACAGAUUUAAUAUAUCGGUAAAUACAGGAGAAUGUCUGGUGAAACAGAAAGGGAGAGUGAUGGAAGUCCACAUGCACUUUUAAUUACAAACGCACAACAUCCUGCACUUUGAAAACCCUUCACAACACCUGUAUAGACCUCUGUCAGGCCUAUUUGAUCUGAUACUGUGUAUUUUAGAUAUCUUUUAAAUACAAUAUGUACAGUGUUCUGUUUUUAUUGUGUAUAUUUAAAUUGGGCUCUUCAGUCCAGUUGUGUAAGCUACAUUUAUUUUUGGGUUUCUCAAGGACGGUUUUAUCCUGCUAUUCUGUGAAUAGCGACGCAGUGUGUUAUGUAUAAGAGUCGCAGCUCCGACUGCAAGCUUAAGGUUAACAGCGGGUUUGUUUGCAUUUUGUCAUGUGGCUCCUUCUCAAGCUGCAAAGUCCAUUCUUUCAUGUCCUUUAAGUGGCUUUUUGUGUCUCGUGUAAGCUGUAAUCUAUCCACUCGUGAAGGAAUGGAAAUGUGAUGCUUUUUUUUUUUUCGUGUGCUUGAAAACAAACUGCUGGUCAGUAUUUUACGUGCUUUAUCAAUGUGUGUCUUUGUUGUGUGCACUCUUCUGCCCGCUGAGAUGCCCAGCUGCUCUCAACUGCUUGUGCAGUGUGCCACCUACUGCAAACUAAGAGGUGAUGAAACCUACCAGGAUAUAUUCAGGGACUUUUCUCACAUGGCCUCGAACAACCCAGAGAAGCUCAAACGCCGCAGUGCCGAUCCCAAAUCGUACCCUGCCUGAACCACAUUUCACACGAUCGUGCUUUCCAUCACACAGAAAACAUGUAUCAUAGUAACUUCACGGCAUGCAGACACACAUUUCUCCUGGCCGCCCGCCACAUGUUUAGUCAUAGCUCAGCUGGUGUUGAUUUCAGAGGGGAUGAACGCUCCGAACAGGGAAUUCUUUGUGUGACACGUCAGAGCAGAACAAUGUGGGAACACUGGAGCAGCUUAAUGAGAGCAGCAUGAGGUGUCUUUAUGUGAAGCAGAGGGAAACGUCAUCACUCUGCCAAGGUUUCUUAAUUAAAUCUGGUAAAUCUUUUAUUUUCUUUAACUAAAAGGGCUUUUUUUAUGAUCCUCUGCCAUUUCUAUACAGUUGUUACGUGAAAAAGUGAAAAUGUGUUGCAAAUUGUACAAUUGUCAUGUCAACUGUCGUCCAGGGAGUUGUAAUGUAUACAGCUUUUUACAUUUGGGAUUUUUUUUUGGCACCUUUGCUUGAGGUACUUGAGUUUUUGUACAAUGAUCAAAUAAACUGCAAUACAAACAUUA